ACCGGAUAACAACAGAUGAUGCCUAUCAAACUGUUUAAAAGUAUGGUUCUGCUAUCACUCUUGGAUGGACCUGCGGUGCAUUAGCUAGUUGGUAGGGUAACGGGCCUACCAAGGCGAUGAUGCAUAGCCCGAGUUGAGAGACUGAUCGGGCCACAUUGGGGACUGAGACACGGGCCCAAACUCCUACGGGAGGCAGCAGUAGGGAAUCUUCCACAAUGGACGCAAGUCUGAUGGAGCAAACGCCGCGUGAGUGAAGAAGGGUUUCGGCUCGUAAAAAGCUCUGUUGUUGGUGAAGAAGGACAGAGGUAGUAACUGACCCUUUGUUUGACGGUAAUCAAUUUAGAAAGUCACGGGCUAACUACGUGCCCAGCAGCCGCGGUAAAU
This 384-nucleotide ribosomal RNA is filed under the name uncultured Lactobacillus sp. Its description in RNAcentral is "bacterial SSU rRNA". It matches the Rfam family "Bacterial small subunit ribosomal RNA", at positions 168 to 525 of the family's 1533-position model. Lineage: Bacteria; Bacillati; Bacillota; Bacilli; Lactobacillales; Lactobacillaceae. The record is from RNAcentral.